This 1326-nucleotide ribosomal RNA is filed under the name metagenome. Its description in RNAcentral is "bacterial LSU rRNA". It matches the Rfam family "Bacterial large subunit ribosomal RNA", at positions 1581 to 2925 of the family's 2925-position model. The record is from RNAcentral.
GGUAGCGAAGUAGCUGAUUUCACACUGUCGAGAAAAGUCUCUAUCGAGGUUAAAGGUGCCUGUACCGCAAACCGACACAGGUGGGUGAGGAGAGUAUCCUAAGGCCAGCGAGAGAACUGUUGUUAAGGAACUCGGCAAAAUGACCCCGUAACUUCGGGAGAAGGGGUGCCUUCGAAAGAAGGCCGCAGAGAAUAGGCCCAAGCGACUGUUUACCAAAAACAUAGGUUUCUGCUAAGUCGCAAGACGAUGUAUAGGAGCUGACGCCUGCCCGGUGCUGGAAGGUUAAGGGGAUCUGUUAGAGCAAUCGAAGCAGUGAACUUAAGCCCCAGUAAACGGCGGCCGUAACGAUAACGGUCCUAAGGUAGCGAAAUUCCUUGUCGGGUAAGUUCCGACCCGCACGAAAGGCGUAACGAUUUGGGCACUGUCUCAACAACAGACUCGGUGAAAUUGUAAUACCGGUGAAGAUGCCGGUUACCUGCGACAGGAGGGAAAGACCCCAUGGAGCUUUACUGUAGCUUGACAUUGAGUCUCGGUGCUACAUGUACAGGAUAGGUGGGAGACUAUGAAGCAUGGACGUCAGUCUGUGUGGAGUCAUCCUUGGGAUACCACCCUUGUAGUACUGGGAUUCUAACCAGAGGCCAUGAAUCUGGUCUUGGGACACUGUCAGGUGGACAGUUUGACUGGGGCGGUCGCCUCCCAAAAAGUAACGGAGGCGCUCAAAGGUUCUCUCAGUACGGUCGGAAAUCGUACGAAGAGUGUAAAGGCAAAAGAGAGCUUGAUUGCAAGACAUACAGGUCGAGCAAGGACGAAAGUCGGACUUAGUGAUCCGGUGGUUCCGCAUGGAAGGGCCAUCGCUCAACGGAUAAAAGCUACCCUGGGGAUAACAGGCUGAUCUCCCCCAAGAGUCCACAUCGACGGGGAGGUUUGGCACCUCGAUGUCGGCUCAUCACAUCCUGGGGCUGUAGUAGGUCCCAAGGGUUGGGCUGUUCGCCCAUUAAAGUGGUACGCGAGCUGGGUUCAGAACGUCGUGAGACAGUUCGGUCCCUAUCCGUCGCAGGCGUAGGAAAUUUGAGGAGACCUGUCCUUAGUACGAGAGGACCGGGAUGGACGUACCGCUGGUGUACCAGUUGUUCUGCCAAGGGCAUGGCUGGGUAGCUAAGUACGGAAAGGAUAAGCGCUGAAAGCAUCUAAGCGCGAAGCCCACUUCAAGAUAAGAUUUCCCACCGCAAGGUUAAGAUCCCAGGAAGACUACCUGGUUGAUAGGUCAGAGGUGUAAGUGCAGUAAUGUAUUUAGCUUACUGAUACUAAUAGAUCGAGGACUUGACC